This is a non-coding RNA of Eptesicus fuscus (big brown bat), 1095 nucleotides long. NCBI's taxonomy places the organism in Eukaryota, Metazoa, Chordata, Mammalia, Chiroptera, Vespertilionidae. The record is from the annotation of a RefSeq genome assembly.
AUGGAGAGCCGUGUGGAUGACGUGGCUCCAUCCGCACGUGGCCUGUCGAACAACCCCACCAGCCCCACACUCUUCCCACUGACCUUCCGGAGCACCAAACCGUCCGACCCGGUGAUCAUCGGCUGCCUGGUCCAGGACUUCUUACCAUCCAAGCCCGUGGACGUGACCUGGGACAGCAGCGGGUCGGGCACCUCCAUCAGCAACGUCCUCCCCAUGUUCACCUCCCGGGGCCUCUACACCAUGGUCAGCCAGCUGACCCUGCCGGCCAGCCAGUGCCCGGCGAGUGGUAUCAUGAAGUGCCACGUGCGGCACAACUCCGGCCCCAGCCAGACCAAGGACGUGCCCUGCACAGUCCCGCCAACGCCAAUGCCAACAUCACGGCCCACAUGCUCAUGCUGCCAGCCCCGCCUGACCCUGCACCCUCCGGCCCUCGAGGACCUGCUGCUGGGCUCUGAUGCCAACCUCACGUGCACGCUGAGUGGCCUGAGAGAGCCCCAGGGUGCCAGCUUCACCUGGCAGCCCACGGGUGGGAAGAAGGCCAUCCAGCAGGACCCGCAGAGCGACGCCUGCGGCUGCUACAGCGUGUCCAGCGUCCUGCCGGGCUGCGCCGACCCGUGGAACCGCGGGCAGAGGUUCUCCUGCACCGCCACCCACCCUGAGGCCACGAGCGCGCUCACCGCCACCAUCGCCAGAGCCUCAGGGAGCACCUUCCCACCCCAGGUCCACCUGCUGCCGCCGCCCUCCGAGGAGCUGGCCCUCAACGAGCUGGUGACGCUGACGUGCGUGGUGCGGGGCUUCUACCCCAAAGACGUGCUGGUGCGGUGGCUGCACGAGAGCCAGGAGCUGCCCCGAGAGAAGUACCAGACGUGGAGCCCCCUGCCCGAGGCCGGCCAGGGCGGCGCCACGUUCGCCACGACCAGCGUGCUGCGCGUGGACACCGAGGCGUGGAAGAGCGGGGACAACUACUCCUGCAUGGUGGGCCACGAGGCCCUGCCCCUGAGCUUCACGCAGAAGACCAUCAACCGCCUGGCGGGUAAACCCACCCACGUCAACGUGUCUGUGGUCAUGUCAGAGGUGGACGGCGUCUGCUACUGA